This 507-nucleotide ribosomal RNA is filed under the name uncultured bacterium. RNAcentral describes it as "partial 16S ribosomal RNA". It matches the Rfam family "Bacterial small subunit ribosomal RNA", at positions 355 to 878 of the family's 1533-position model. The record is from RNAcentral.
UGGGGAAUAUUGCACAAUGGGCGAAAGCCUGAUGCAGCAACGCCGCGUGAGUGAUGAAGGUCUUCGGAUUGUAAAGCUCUGUCUUUUGGGACGAUAAUGACGGUACCAAAGGAGGAAGCCACGGCUAACUACGUGCCAGCAGCCGCGGUAAUACGUAGGUGGCGAGCGUUGUCCGGAUUUACUGGGCGUAAAGGGUGCGUAGGCGGAUGUUUAAGUGAGAUGUGAAAUACCCGGGCUUAACUUGGGUGCUGCAUUUCAAACUGGAUAUCUAGAGUGCAGGAGAGGAGAAUGGAAUUCCUAGUGUAGCGGUGAAAUGCGUAGAGAUUAGGAAGAACACCAGUGGCGAAGGCGAUUCUCUGGACUGUAACUGACGCUGAGGCACGAAAGCGUGGGUAGCAAACAGGAUUAGAUACCCUGGUAGUCCACGCCGUAAACGAUGAGUACUAGGUGUAGGAGGUAUCGACCCCUUCUGUGCCGCAGUAAACACAUUAAGUACUCCGCCUGGGA